AGUUAACGUUGGCGGCGUGCCUAACACAUGCAAGUCGAACGCGUCCUAAGGGCAACUUUAGGAUGAGUGGCGAACGGGUGAGUAUCACGUGGGUAAUCUUCCUUCAAGUGGGGAAUAAGCUCUCGAAAGGGAGUCUAAUACCGCAUGACAUUCCGGGACACAAGUCCCGUAAUACAAAGCCGCAAGGCGCUUGAAGAUGAGCCUGCGUCCUAUUAGCUAGUUGGUGGGGUAACGGCCUACCAAGGCUUAGAUGGGUAGCCGGCCUGAGAGGGUGAACGGCCACACUGGGACUGAGACACGGCCCAGACUCCUACGGGAGGCAGCAGUGAGGUAAUUUUGCGCAAUGGGGGAAACCCUGACGCAGCGACGCCGCGUGGAGGAUGAAGGCCUUCGGGUCGUAAACUCCUGUCAGAGGUGAAGAAUACCCGCAAGGGUUUGACGGUAACCUCAGAGGAAGCCCCGGCUAACUACGUG
Molecule: ribosomal RNA, 474 nt
Filed under: uncultured bacterium
Lineage: Bacteria
Description: bacterial SSU rRNA
Rfam family: Bacterial small subunit ribosomal RNA
Source: RNAcentral